This 382-nucleotide ribosomal RNA is filed under the name uncultured bacterium. RNAcentral's name for it is "bacterial SSU rRNA". It matches the Rfam family "Bacterial small subunit ribosomal RNA", at positions 335 to 733 of the family's 1533-position model. The record is from RNAcentral.
ACUCCUACGGGAGGCUGCAGUUAGGAAUCUUGCGCAAUGGGCGAAAGCCUGACGCAGCAACGCCGCGUGGGGGAUGAAGGCCUUCGGGUUGUAAACCCCUUUCAGUGGGGACGAAGAUGACGGUACCCACAGAAGAAGCCCCGGCCAACUACGUGCCAGCAGCCGCGGUAACACGUAGGGGGCAAGCGUUGUCCGGAUUUAUUGGGCGUAAAGGGCUCGUAGGCGGUUCGACAAGUCGGGUGUGAAACCUCCAGGCUUAACCUGGAGUCGCCACUCGAAACUGUUGUGACUUGAGUCCGGUAGGGGAGCAUGGAAUUCCUGGUGUAGCGGUGGAAUGCGCAGAUAUCAGGAGGAACACCAGUGGCGAAGGCGAUGCUCUGGG